Ostrea edulis (European flat oyster) is the source of this 432-nucleotide long non-coding RNA. RefSeq lists it as uncharacterized. The record is from RefSeq and is a predicted model, not a curated record. The transcript is spliced from 4 exons. Lineage: Eukaryota; Metazoa; Mollusca; Bivalvia; Ostreida; Ostreidae.
ACGACUAGGACAAUAUUUGUCGUUUACUAUGUUUUAGCAUUGAUAUAAAGAUUUUCUAGGAUAUAGAGAAUCCCGAAAAUGUGUCGUCAUUAUGCCCUACACUUAGCGACACAAUGCAGGAGACGCCGUGCAGUUUUCAAUGCAAUGUGCAUUGUCCUUAUUUUGAUUGUAGGAGGAAAGUGUCGAUUGGGUUAAGACUGAUCUGUACAAAAGUGGCUUUUCUGUUGGACACAUUUCAAAAUACAAUGGAGGAACAAUCCUGCACAUCAUUUGUGGAAACGGAAGAGUUAGAGGCAGAACAGGAGGAACAAUCAUGAACAUCAUUAGUUGAAAUGGAAGAGUUAGAGGCAGAACAGGUAGGGAACAUAAUUUACAUCUAAGGUUAUAUAUCACAUAUCACCAUUACAUCACAACAGACUGCUUGAAAUGAAA